CAAAGAGUAGUUUAACUAGAAUACUAGCUUUGGGAGUUAGUGGCAGGGGUUAGAAUCCCUUCUUUUUGA
This 69-nucleotide transfer RNA is filed under the name Nemipterus hexodon (ornate threadfin bream). RNAcentral describes it as "tRNA-Pro". It matches the Rfam family "tRNA". From Rfam's summary of the family: Transfer RNA (tRNA) molecules are approximately 80 nucleotides in length. Their secondary structure includes four short double-helical elements and three loops (D, anti-codon, and T loops). Lineage: Eukaryota; Metazoa; Chordata; Actinopteri; Spariformes; Nemipteridae. The record is from RNAcentral.